UACGUAGGGUGCAAGCGUUGUCCGGAAUUAUUGGGCGUAAAGAGCUCGUAGGCGGUCUGUCGCGUCUGCUGUGAAAACUCGGGGCUUAACCCCGGGCCUGCAGUGGGUACGGGCAGACUAGAGUGCGGUAGGGGAGACUGGAAUUCCUGGUGUAGCGGUGAAAUGCGCAGAUAUCAGGAGGAACACCGGUGGCGAAGGCGGGUCUCUGGACAGUUCCUGACGCUGAGGCACGAAGGCCAGGGGAGCAAACGGG
Molecule: ribosomal RNA, 253 nt
Filed under: uncultured bacterium
Lineage: Bacteria
Description: partial 16S ribosomal RNA
Rfam family: Bacterial small subunit ribosomal RNA
Source: RNAcentral